CAUUUAAAGAAAGCGUAAUAGCUCACUGGUCGAGUCGGCCUGCGCGGAAGAUGUAACGGGGCUAAACCAUGCACCGAAGCUGCGGCAGCGACACUAUGUGUUGUUGGGUAGGGGAGCGUUCUGUAAGCCUGCGAAGGUGUGCUGUGAGGCAUGCUGGAGGUAUCAGAAGUGCGAAUGCUGACAUAAGUAACGAUAAAGCGGGUGAAAAGCCCGCUCGCCGGAAGACCAAGGGUUCCUGUCCAACGUUAAUCGGGGCAGGGUGAGUCGACCCCUAAGGC
RNAcentral lists this ribosomal RNA (278 nucleotides) under Klebsiella pneumoniae. RNAcentral describes it as "partial 23S ribosomal RNA". It matches the Rfam family "Bacterial large subunit ribosomal RNA", at positions 1120 to 1397 of the family's 2925-position model. The record is from RNAcentral. Lineage: Bacteria; Pseudomonadati; Pseudomonadota; Gammaproteobacteria; Enterobacterales; Enterobacteriaceae.